RNAcentral lists this ribosomal RNA (474 nucleotides) under uncultured prokaryote. RNAcentral's name for it is "bacterial SSU rRNA". It matches the Rfam family "Bacterial small subunit ribosomal RNA", at positions 429 to 905 of the family's 1533-position model. The record is from RNAcentral.
CCUGGAAUUUUUCGGCCUGCUCACAAAACUUGAGUGACGGCUCACCGGUAAAGAAGCACCGCUCUAACUACUUGCCAGCAGACGCGGUGAUACGUAGGGUGCGAGCGUUGUCCGGAUUUAUUGGGCGUAAAGGGCUCGUAGGUGGUUGAUCGCGUCGGAAGUGUAAUCUUGGGGCUUAACCCUGAGCGUGCUUUCGAUACGGGUUGACUUGAGGAAGGUAGGGGAGAAUGGAAUUCCUGGUGGAGCGGUGGAAUGCGCAGAUAUCAGGAGGAACACCAGUGGCGAAGGCGGUUCUCUGGGCCUUUCCUGACGCUGAGGAGCGAAAGCGUGGGGAGCGAACAGGCUUAGAUACCCUGGUAGUCCACGCUGUAAACGGUGGGUACUAGGUGUGGGGUCCAUUCCACGGGUUCCGUGCCGUAGCUAACGCUUUAAGUACCCCGCCUGGGGAGUACGGCCGCAAGGCUAAAACUCAAA